GGUGAGAUGUCCGAGUGGCUGAAGGAGCACGCCUGGAAAGCGUGUAUACGGCAAUCCCGUAUCGGGGGUUCGAAUCCCCCUCUCACCGCCA
RNAcentral lists this transfer RNA (91 nucleotides) under Candidatus Anaerobiospirillum pullistercoris. Its description in RNAcentral is "tRNA-Ser". It matches the Rfam family "tRNA". Rfam says of the family: Transfer RNA (tRNA) molecules are approximately 80 nucleotides in length. Their secondary structure includes four short double-helical elements and three loops (D, anti-codon, and T loops). Further hydrogen bonds mediate the characteristic L-shaped molecular structure. tRNAs have two regions of fundamental functional importance: the anti-codon, which is responsible for specific mRNA codon recognition, and the 3' end, to which the tRNAs corresponding amino acid is attached (by aminoacyl-tRNA synthetases). tRNAs cope with the degeneracy of the genetic code in two manners: having more than one tRNA (with a specific anti-codon) for a particular amino acid; and 'wobble' base-pairing, i.e. permitting non-standard base-pairing at the 3rd anti-codon position. The record is from RNAcentral. Lineage: Bacteria; Pseudomonadati; Pseudomonadota; Gammaproteobacteria; Aeromonadales; Succinivibrionaceae.